Molecule: ribosomal RNA, 458 nt
Filed under: uncultured bacterium
Lineage: Bacteria
Description: partial 16S ribosomal RNA
Rfam family: Bacterial small subunit ribosomal RNA
Source: RNAcentral
CCUACGGGUGGCAGCAGUGAGGAAUAUUGGUCAAUGGGCGAGAGCCUGAACCAGCCAAGUCGCGUGAGGGAGUACUGCCCUAUGGGUUGUAAACCUCUUUUGUCGGGGAGCAAAAGCCGGACGUGUCCGGCUGUGAGAGUACCCGAAGAAAAAGCAUCGGCUAACUCCGUGCCAGCAGCCGCGGUAAUACGGAGGAUGCGAGCGUUAUCGGGAUUUAUUGGGUUUAAAGGGUGCGCAGGCGGAUUUUUAAGUCAGCGGUAAAAUCGUGGGGCUCAACCCCAUCCAGCCGUUGAAACUGGGGAUCUAGAGUGUGCGAGAGGUAUGCGGAAUGCGUGGUGUAGCGGUGAAAUGCAUAGAUAUCACGCAGAACCCCGAUUGCGAAGGCAGCAUACCGGUGCACAACUGACGCUCAGGCACGAAAGCGUGGGUAUCGAACAGGAUUAGAUACCCGGGUAGUC